RNAcentral lists this long non-coding RNA (254 nucleotides) under Pogona vitticeps (central bearded dragon). Its description in RNAcentral is "lncRNA (ENSPVIG00000021611.1)". Lineage: Eukaryota; Metazoa; Chordata; Lepidosauria; Squamata; Agamidae. The record is from RNAcentral.
ACAUUGGGAGAGCCAAAGGCUGAGAACCACUGGAGUAAAUGACACUGGGGGCAAAGGCAAAAAAUCCUUUUUGAAAAAUGGCCCCAAAACAAAGGUGUUGUCAAGAACAAAAGAAAAACCAAAGUACGGAGGCACCUUCAAAGUAAUAAAAAGGGGGAAAGCUGUGAGGCCUUGAUGGAAAAGUCAAGAGAAGGAUGGGUAAGUACCGUUACUCAACUGCUAGAAUGUGCAACUAUGGAAACCUAUACACAGGU